This 1762-nucleotide long non-coding RNA is filed under the name Sus scrofa (pig). Its description in RNAcentral is "lncRNA (ENSSSCG00070030020.1)". Lineage: Eukaryota; Metazoa; Chordata; Mammalia; Artiodactyla; Suidae. The record is from RNAcentral.
AUGUUGCUUUGUUCUUCCACUUUAAUUGAAAGAAUGAAGAAUAGCUGCCAGUGGUCCUACAAAUUUGAAGAUUUGAAGCCCAUUACAGUGUUGAAGAUGGUUUUCUUCCCGUUGCCAUCAUUUCAAGUUAGGGUGGAUUUGACUCCGAGAGGCUCAGAGCUGUACGUAAGUGGGACCACUCUUUUUCCUUCUCUGGACCCUGUGGAUGUAUUUCAUGAUCAAAUAGCCUUGCAAGAAGCUAUGGGCCUGCGCACCCGGGGUUGGUGGGGAUCCAAAUGGACCAAGGAGGACAGAAGGCCGGUGACCUGGUUUUUUAAAUCACAGCUCCCGGUCUUUUACCCUCUAGCUUUCUUCCCCAGGCUUAGGGUCCUCUCCGUGCUUCUCUCCACAGAUCUAAGCCCACUCCUUUCCCAGCAUCCUUUCCUGCGGCUUCUUGUAAAAUGCACACGGGGACACACUCACACGGCAUCUUGUGUGUAUCCCUUCAUGUUAACCCUUUACUGCCUGACUUGUUUUUUUCCCUAUUUACUUUCUUUACAUCGUUCCAGCAUUUACCCCUGCAACUCGAUAAAGUGCCUCUUGAUUCGCCCUUGUCUCUUUUUGCCUUGUCCCUGCGUCCUGGGUGCCGUCCCUUCUCCCCCAUGGGACUGGACUCCACCCGUAGGAAGGGUAUCUCUUCCUGCCUCUGGAUUUUUCCUUCUGCUCCCUGAACAGGAGGUGCUCGUCCUGAACACACCAUCGGAUGAUCCUUCAAGUCAGUGAAUUAUUUCUGAAAUUCUGAUUUAAGAUCUUGCUCUAAAUCUGGAUGGGAAUCCAGCAUUUGUCAAGAGCACAUUUUUGUUUUCUUUUUUUUUUUUUUGCAGGGGACGGGGUGGGUUAAAUGAGAGCUGCAGCUGCUGGCCUACACCACAGCCUCAGCAACAUGGGGUCCAAGCUGCAUCUGCAACCAGUGCCACAGUUUGCCACAACACUGCGACCAGGAUCAAACCCAAAUCCUCGCAGACACUCUUUUGGGUUCUUAACCUGCUGAGCCACAAUAGGAACUCUAAGAACAAAAUUUUCUUGCUUCUGACAUUAUUAGCUCAGGGGUGACAGGAGAAGUGAGAGAGAGAAAGAGAAACAAAACAAAACCCAUGAUUCUGGAGAUGAGCACAAUUUCUUGGGCCAAUUAACUGAGACAGUUCACAUGUUUAUUAUGUUUAAACUAUUGGGUGAUUAAUUUAGGGAGUUUUAUAGGCAGUUUAAUACUCUACUAGAAUCAGACAUAAGCCAGUUUAUAUAAAAGAAGAAACAACCCUGAGAUAGCUCUACCUCUGAUGAUGACUAUGACAAAUGAAAGAUGGGACAUUAAAGAAUUUUCCAUAAAUUAUAUAGUUCAAAAUGUGGUAAAAAUAGGGAGUUCCUGUUGUGGCUCAGUGGAAAUGGAUCUGACUAGGAACCAUGAGGUUGUGGGUUCGAUCCCUGGCCUUGUGCAGUGGGUUAAGGAUCUGGCGUUGCCGUGAGCUGUGGAGGUUGCAGACCCGGCUCAGAUCCCGAGUUGCUGUGGCUGGGGCAUAGGCCGGCGGCUACAGCUCCAAUUCAACCCUUAGCCUGGGAACCUCCAUAUGCUGUGGGUAUGGCCCUAGAAAAGACAAAAAAAAAAAAAAAAGUUUCAUUGUUCACUCCCUUUUUAUCAGCAUAAUUGAUCAAGAAUUACCUGAGAUUAAAUACCAAGAGUAGUUAUUGGGUGCCUGGGAUUAGGUAUGGCAGGAGGGGCAAUGUG